Molecule: ribosomal RNA, 440 nt
Filed under: uncultured bacterium
Lineage: Bacteria
Description: partial 16S ribosomal RNA
Rfam family: Bacterial small subunit ribosomal RNA
Source: RNAcentral
CCUACGGGUGGCAGCAGUAGGGAAUAUUGCUCAAUGGGGGAAACCCUGAAGCAGCAACGCCGCGUGGAGGAUGAAGGUUUUAGGAUUGUAAACUCCUUUUGUUAGAGAAGUCAAUGACGGUAUCUCACCAAUAAUCCCCGGCUAACUCCGUUCCAGCAGCCGCGGUAAUACGGAGGGCGCAAGCGUUACUCGGAAUCACUGGGCGUAAAGGGUGCGCAGGCGGGUUUGUAAGUCAGAUGUGAAAUCCUGUGGCUUAACUACAGAACUGCAUUUGAAACUGUGAGGCUAGAGUGUGGGAGAGGUAGGUGGAAUUCUUGGUGUAGAGGUGAAAUCCGUAGAUAUCAAGAGGAAUACUCAUUGCGAAGGCGACCUACUGGAACAUAACUGACGCUCAUGCACGAAAGCGUGGGGAGCAAACAGGAUUAGAUACCCGUGUAGUC